UACAGAGGUCUCAAGCGUUGUUCGGAUUCAUUGGGCGUAAAGGGUGCGUAGGCGGCGAGGCAAGUCUGGUGUGAAAUCCCGGGGCUCAACCCCGGAACUGCACUGGAUACUGCUUUGCUAGAGUACUGGAGAGGGAACUGGAAUUUACGGUGUAGCAGUGAAAUGCGUAGAUAUCGUAAGGAAGACCAGUGGCGAAGGCGAGUUCCUGGACAGUUACUGACGCUGAGGCACGAAGGCCAGGGGAGCAAACGGG
Molecule: ribosomal RNA, 253 nt
Filed under: uncultured bacterium
Lineage: Bacteria
Description: partial 16S ribosomal RNA
Rfam family: Bacterial small subunit ribosomal RNA
Source: RNAcentral